GGGAUGGUUUGAGAACUUUAAAAAUCGCUGCUGUUUUGCAACAUACGAAGUUGAUGGGGAGGAGGGACCCUUAAAUCCUGAGUGGGCAUCGAGUAUUCCAAGCAACUGGAGAGAGGCUUUGUGCCUCAACAGGUCUUCAACGCCAAGGAGAUGACCCAUCUUUUGCAGUGCGUGCCUUCCUGCUUUUGGGACAAAAGACAAAAAUCUGGAAAGCUUAGGGGAAGCUAAGGACAGGAUUUCCCUCAUUUUUUGUGGCAGUGCCUCAGGUGACAAAAUGAUAAAACCACUGCUGCUUUACAAAGACUAUAAUCCCCCACUUGUCUUUUAGAGAUAAACGCCUUCCUGUUUUCUUGUGAUCACAUCCAGAAUCACCACUGCCACUUUUUGGAUUAGUUUUACAAUUUUUUUUAUCUAUCAAGUCCGAAGUCAUUUAACAAAAAAAAAUCUGGAGAUCAGAAUGUUGCUAACUGUGGACAGAGGUCCCAAUCAUCCAGAUUCAUUAUUCUUUGUUCAUUCUAAUGUCGAUAUUGUGUUUCUCCCUCAGGAAGGCCCUAGCUUUCUUCAGCCCUUGGGUCAGGGUAUAACUGAAGCAUUUGGGAGGUAUUACACCAAGCAUAUGUUUGACCACUUUGCUGACUGUAUUGAAAAAAACCCUCGCCUUACUCUGAAAGAAACAUGGCAACAGUACAAUAUUGCCGAUGUUUUGGUAGUGAUAAAAGAGGUGAUGGGUGAUAUAGAAUCAGCCACUCUUAAGCUUGAUGGAAACUGUGGGAGGAUGUGUGAAUGAUGCAUAUUUCUCUAGAGCUAAUGAAGAAGUUAAAAAAUCUAAGUGUCUGCAAAACAGGUGGGUUUAAGAUUCAUUGAUAUUAGGGAAAGUGAAAUUAAUGAGCUACUCAAGUUUCAGUCUUUGGUCAUCACUGAGAGUCUAUGUCCAUAGGAAGAAGUCUUUGCAGAGGAAAUUGAAUACUGUCUGAUGCUACAAUUCAUAUGGACCCUUUCCUGGAUUGAAGCUUGACUUUUUUAAAAAAGGUUUCAAUAAAUUGCUUAUACCUAUGAAGAGAUGCAAAAGAACCUUCAAAAUAAAGCAAAGGACUUGAAGAAAGAGAAGGAAGACAUGAAGAAGAGGAUGUCAUUUAGGUGAAGGUGAUGGAUACAGAAUCUGAGUCUGAGGGGAAGUCUGACUCUGAAUCAGGAUCUGAUAAGGAGCAGGAGAAGAUGGAGGAUAAGAAGCUGCCAGAAGAAAAGCCUGGAUCCUGUGGCAUAGCACUCAGAGUCUUGAUAUGUCUGAAGAAACUGUCCAAGCCAUUAAUGUGAACUUGAACUUUUGGAAUGUAACCUUUGAAGUGAAUCUGGAGAGUAGAGGUACCUGAGUUGAAGGACAAAGAGGUUCCAGAGGCCAUCCUUCCCUUGUUACUCCAACAUCACUUUCAUAACUACCAUCACCCUUUUCAUCACCAGCCACACAUCCCUAUCAUUUAGUCAUGUAACAAACAUUGAUUGAGCUUAAACUCUGCAGGGUCCUGAGCUAAACUUGGGGACAUCAGCUCAGGAAAUCAUCUCAGGAUCUGAGGGCCAUGCUGGAUAAGGAACUGGCUGCCUCUGUGAACAUCCUACUCAAGGCAUCUUCACUUUAAUGAAGAAAAAGACUUCCAGGGUCUUCAUGCUGUCCAUCUACACCAGGCUGUACAUCCUUUUGAAAUCCCAGAGGUCUUCAGUCUCCCUGUGGAUUAAGGAGAUGUGCAGUAUUUAAAGUAGCUUCAGGAAGGCAUGGAAGAGGACUGAGUGCGGAAAGCUUUUUGUGCAUGCUGCUGGCCACCUCCAGCGGCUGCCUCCAGCCUCCAUCAGCUGCACUCUGGGGAAGAGGAGGCUGCCUUCUACCUCUCAGCAUCUCUGGAUUUCAUGUUCCUGUCAGCACAGAGGAGCUAAAUGGCCUUUAGAGGCUGAAGGUCUGAGGCUCCUAAAGCUGGAAGAAAAGGCUGGGCCAGUCAGGCCAAGCAAGAACACAGUGUAACUUGUCUCUGAGUGCUUCAUGGUUAAGGGGGAUAAGUGGGCACAAGGGCACAAGGAUGGUUAUAUGUAGAGACUGAGGGGAAGAAGCAGUGAGGAUGAGACUUGUCAUCUUCUUGAGUCAGUAGGCCUGCCUCAGGUGCCUAGGAUGUAAUUGCUCUGCUGCUUCUCAUGGGGAGGAGUGGCCCUCAUGACCUUGUUUACCUGGAAAAGUGUGGGAUGAAUGCCUCCUCCUAUGGGGAGUGGCAAGUGCUUUAGCAAAAGGAUAAAUUGCUAAUGGUGGCAUUUCAUGGAUCAGCAGGAUUAUUUCUCCUUGCUAAAGAGGAUUUUGUUGGUCCUGAACUCUGAGGAGGUGGGACUAGGAAUGGGCUCCAUGAGCCUGUGUAUGACUCAGGGAAUAUUAGGACUUUGGCACAGCCUCAUGGGUUGGGAGUAAGUGGCUCUUCCCUAGCCUGAAUGACAGACAUCAGAUCAUUCUGGUGCUUUGUCAGUGAAGAUGUAGAUUCUGAGCCCACCAAACUAACCUUUUCACUUGAGCACAGAAAACAGCCCCGGGAAUCGGACAGACCCCUGUCUUUCAGGUUUGCUUCACAGAGCCCCAGGGGUUGACAAUAGGUGCCUUGGAGACUGCCUGCAUGGGGAUUUUUAAAAAGCUUUCUUUGUUAAAGGUUUGUAAACCACCCCUCUGAGCCAGUUUUCAUUUUAUAGAUUACUGCAGGAAACUGAACUGCACAGAGGUCCAGAAAGUGGGUAGUGCAGGCUGUAGUGCUGAUAACUACUGUACUACUUGGAUCUUUGUGCUCCCAAAUACCAAAUGGAAGAGGAUCUCUGAGAGUCCUUUGCAAAGAUCUUGUAGGGACUUUAGGCUGGGGCCUUUGGAAAAUUCCAGAGGAUUCCAAUGGAGAUUUUGAGGGACUGCCUCAGAGGAACAAAGAGAAUGAUAAUGAUGAUGUCCCUGCUUUUUACAACAGAUCAUGUUCUGAUAUAUAUGCAAAUCUGUGUAAAGUAAACCCUACCUAAAAUGUACUGGGGACCCAAGACAGACUGCCUGUAUUGCUUCCAGGAUAAAGUCCAAUUUCUAGCUCUGGUUUUUAUAACCUUGCUUCAGCUCACCUUUUCCGUCAUCACCCCCUGCAUCUCCUCUCCCACGCUGGAAAAUGGAUGGCUCCACUAUACUGUGUGAUGUUAUUGCUAUGUUCAUGCCAUCCCCUCUGCCUGGAAUGCCCUUCUGCAUGAAUGCCUGUGAAAUGCUGUUGCUCCUUUGUAUGGCCUGGCUUCCGUGGUUGGCAGGAAUCUCUUCUUUUGUGGUAUUCCUGUCAUCUUUGUGCAUCACAGUCAGCUUUGUAUUCUUAGCUUGUAAGCUACUUGAGGAUAGGGGCAUGUCUGAAUCUAUUUAAUCUCUUGCACUUAUUUGGCAAAUUGAUGUUUUAAGUAUUUAAAUAACUAAAGCUCUCUCUACAGUACAUACUCACUUUUGAUUUAUGGAAUUGGCAAAAUUCAACUUUUUUCCUUGAAUAUUCUUAAAGUGAGACUAAUUCCAAAGGAGAUUGUUCUGUCUGUGGCCUUCAUUGAGUGGUUUUCUGUUACCAGAAAGCUCUUGGUGGCCUUCCUCUUCCCUGGCGUCAAGGUUGACUGUUAUAGGAAAUGGGAGGGGAGAGGGCCGUUUCUGCCACGCAUUGUCCUAGGUUCUUAACAUUAUUUAAUCCUUAUAAUGCAAUGUUAUCCUUAUUUUACAGAUGAAACCUGAGACCAAAGAACAUGUAACACAUAAAGUACAUUGCAGUUAGGAUGUGAACCCAACUCUGAUUCUAAACCUAAUGCUCUUACUCUUUCAUUCAGAGGUUCAGUCAGUUCUUUGCAGGCCGUAGAUCCAGAGAAGCUGCCGUAGCCAACAACAAAGUUGUUAGUUUUUAAAACAUCUAUGUGGUAAGUUGGUCUGGCACUUAAAAAUGUAUUGUUUCCCGGGCACGGUGGCUCACACCUGUAAUCCCAGCAUUUUGGGAGGCCGAGGCAGGCGGAUGGAUCAUUAGGUCAAAAGAUCGAGACCAUCCUGACCAACAUGGUGAAACCCCGUCUCUACUAAAAAUACAAAAAUUAGCUGGGUGUGGUGGCGCAUGCCUCUAGUCCUGGCUACUUGGGAGGCUGAGGCAGGAGAAUCGCUUGAACCCAGGAGGCAGAGGUUGCAGUGAGCCAAGAUCAUGCUACUGCACUACAGCCUGGCAACAAAGCGAGACUCUGCCUUAAAAAAAAAAGAAAAAAAAAAAAUAUAUAUAUAUAUACACACACACACACACACACAUAUACAUAUAGUUUACUACUCACCACAGAUCUGCAGGAGUUCACUGAUCUCUAGGAUCUGCCUUAACUCCAACUUACAUGUUUUGGUCACUAUUACAAACUGUCAUCCCAGAAUGAUGCUACAGAGGCUAGGGCUAGGACACAGACCAGUGUUUCCAUGUGGGAAUUCCCUCCCAGUAUUUCUUAGGAAAUGUAUGUUUUUUGAAUCCAUAAUCCCUAGAAAAAUCAGUUGAGGAAAUGAGAAGUAUUGUAAUUAUUCUGUGAAUAGUAACACUUACCAUUAUGGAGACAUCACUAGUUUGAAAGAAUCCAACUUCAUCAAAUACUAACAUACUGAGUUGAAGGCUACAAGAACUGAGACAGGAGCAUAGCAGAGAGAAAUGGUCACCAUCUAAUUAGCCCCAUUUUUGGUUGUUGUGAUGCCAUUACAUCUGUAUAUCUGGCCAUAUCAGCUGCUAAUGGUGAGUUCUUGCAACUAAAAUGAUUUGAUAAACAACCUAGCAUACUUUAUACAAAUCUUACGGUGUUCCGAGAAAUAAACUUUGGAAGCAAAAUAA
Molecule: long non-coding RNA, 4862 nt
Organism: Pongo pygmaeus (Bornean orangutan)
Lineage: Eukaryota; Metazoa; Chordata; Mammalia; Primates; Hominidae
Exons: 4
Source: RefSeq, a predicted model, not a curated record